RNAcentral lists this long non-coding RNA (210 nucleotides) under Elaeis guineensis (African oil palm). RNAcentral's name for it is "long non-coding RNA (EGUI_LNC072799)". Lineage: Eukaryota; Viridiplantae; Streptophyta; Magnoliopsida; Arecales; Arecaceae. The record is from RNAcentral.
CGAGAAGAGAAAAGAAGCUGGCGCUUCCAGUUCCCACCCUCAAGGCAAAAUUAUGACGGUCAAAAUCAUCGAUCCUGCAGUCCUUCGAGAAAGAUUCGGCAACCAUCACUUCCUCAGCUGUAUGAUAGCUACACGCCUCUAAAUAUUCCUUGAAGGGAGAUGUUGUUACAAGUGAGGCCUAAGUUACCUGAGCCUCGACUUAUGAGAACG